GCGUGAGUGAUGAAGGCCUUAGGGUUGUAAAGCUCUUUCGACGGGGACGAUAAUGACGGUACCCGUAGAAGAAGCCCCGGCUAACUUCGUGCCAGCAGCCGCGGUAAUACGAAGGGGGCUAGCGUUGCUCGGAAUCACUGGGCGUAAAGGGCGCGUAGGCGGCCGUUCAAGUCAGAGGUGAAAGCCCAGGGCUUAACCCUGGAAUUGCCUUUGAUACUGUUCGGCUAGAGACCGGAAGAGGUGAGUGGAACUGCGAGUGUAGAGGUGAAAUUCGU
Molecule: ribosomal RNA, 275 nt
Filed under: uncultured bacterium
Lineage: Bacteria
Description: partial 16S ribosomal RNA
Rfam family: Bacterial small subunit ribosomal RNA
Source: RNAcentral